This is a long non-coding RNA of Prunus dulcis (almond), 2594 nucleotides long. RefSeq lists it as uncharacterized. The record is from RefSeq and is a predicted model, not a curated record. The transcript has 7 exons. Lineage: Eukaryota; Viridiplantae; Streptophyta; Magnoliopsida; Rosales; Rosaceae.
UUCUUUUGUUUCGUUCCACUCCCUCUCGGAAUAUCUUCUGGCAUAUUUAUAGUCAAGUUCACAAAUUUUUCACUCCAUUAUUUGCUAUUGGUAAAAUCAACUUUCUUGGUAAAAUAAGACCUCUUCCCUAUCGCCCUCUUGUAGCUCUCUCUCUCUCUCUCUCUGGUUUCCAUGCUUCUUCCUCUUCUCAUCUCUGCUUGCUUUCUCUAGUCUAUCUGAAAUUUCAGAACGGAGGAGGAGUCUCUCUCACGAACUCUGGGUCGCUCUCUCUGUCCUACCUGUGCAAGACUGAAACAUGGAUAUGAUGGAAGUUCUUUUCAGAAGCUAAUCAUCAAACAGAAUUGUGGGAAUUUGAAGAAUGGGUUCGAAUGUUAAGCUCAUGAUUGCGGAGAAGAACAAGUUUCACGGAAAGGCGUUGUCUCUAUCAUACACAAAGACCACCAUUACUGCAAUCAAGGAGAAGUUCAGUUCAGAGCAGUUGGAAAGGUUUAAGGGUAGUUGUUUUGGUCAUCUACUACUCAUUGAGGACCUAAAGUGGACUCCACAAAUUGUCCAUGGGAUGUUGCUAAGAAAGGUUGAUCCGAAGACAGUUAAAACCGUGAAAGGUAUUACAUUCUUGGUUGGUAAUAAGUUGAUACAAUUCACGAAGCAACAGUUUUGCCUCAUCACGGGGCUAAGGUAAAGGGUGUAGGAAGAAGCAGCCAAUAACUGUGUUGUUGAGUCCCUUUAUCGGUCCUAUGAGGAAAAAGAGGAAGCUCCCUGUUUCAGAGGGCACCGGAACCCCCACUGCUUUUAAUCCAACAAAGCCCGUUCCCAUUGAGGAUGUCAAGGCUGUAAUAGACUUCUGCACCACUUGGAAAAGCAAUAUGAGAUCAACAGUGUUCUAAAAAGAAGUGGUUUUGGGGAAUGCCUUGGAGUUCUGUAUUUGUUUUUACAUGUUGGCACCUUUGGAAAUGGCGGAAUAGGCGUGUGUUUAGUGGAGCUGAUGAUCUAGCCAUUAAUCCUCGUUAGACUUUUUUGUGCUUCAGUUAUGGAGUGGAUUAAGGCUUCAUCUGUGAGUCAGAAGGGGACUGAUGUGACUCAACUCCUUUUGGCUUGGGAUCUUCCAGCUGGUGGCCAAUUUAAAUUAAAUGUGGAAGGUUCUAGAAAGACAAUUUCAUGUUGUAUUGGCGCAGGGGAGUCAUCAGGGAUUCUAAAGGUGACUUGGUUUCUGGUUUUGCCGUCCAUUUAGGGAAAUGCCAAAUUCUAGAGCAGAAGUCUGGGGCCUUUUCUUUGGUUUGAAGUUGGCUCUUGAGAAAGGUCUCAGUGAUCUAGCCAUUGAAAUGGACUCUUCUCUAGUUGUGAAACUGUGUCUGAAACCUUCUAUCCUUGGUUUGCACCCGAUGGCCUCCUUGAUUGAUAGUUGCUGUGAUCUUAUGAAGCAACUUGGUAAAUGCACCCUCAAGCAUAUAUAUGGAGAGAAGAAUAGAGUUGCUAACGCAACUGCCAACCGGAGCUAUAAUUUAGUGCGGAGGUGCGGCUCGAAGAGAUGGCAGUUGGGCAAGAGUUUUUCUACAAACUCAUAAAUGAUAGCCUUUGGAUGACCUCAUCAGUAACAGUUUCAAUCUUGCUUUAAUUUUAAAAUUAAAUUAACUUGUCUUCUUUACUAUGUGUACAUGCAUAUUAAAAUAAGCUGUUAUUAUCUACCUCAACUGGCAGCACCUUGACAUGGGGAUGUUUCUGAUACGCAAAAGGCAAUUUGCUCAUCCGUUGGCGGUUGGAACUGACUGGACGACUGCUGAUUGUUGUCUGCAAUCAUUUUUAGAACCAGUAAAACUGCCUCCGAAAAAAUGAGGAUCGAAGAAACAAGAUGUUAGGGUUACCGAGGACGCUCCACUUCAAUACCAGGCCAAAAUAGAGCUGUAUGUGCGGGGACUUUGGAAACAUGGGUAUGCUAUACCAUGGACCAAAGUCCGCAAGGUGUAUGUCCCCUUCAAUUUUGGAGGGUGUCAUUGGGUCGCACUUGAAAUCGACUUUGUGAGGCGUACAGUCACUUUGUAUGACUCCUACGUUGAUUUUACUGCUUAGAAGAAGGUGGUACAAUUUCUUAAGCCUAUUAGCCAUGCACUUGCACGUAUUCUUUAUGAUAUGGGAUUUUAUGGGAGUUCGGAGCUUCAGGAGGUCAAGAAAAUGGCGACUCAGAAGCCGAACUUUGAGGCAUGGACAAUUUGCAGGCAUGGAGAUGUUCCGCAACAAGCUGAUGGUGCUUCAUGCGGAGUUUUUGCAAUCAAAUUCAUUGAGUAUGCCAGUGCCGGGCUUCCAUGUCAUACAAUUGACCCUUCGAAGGUUGCCUAUUACCAAUUGAAACUUGCAAUAGAGGCUUUGAGGGAGGAGGCUUAUCUAUGAGGUUUGAGGCUUAGUCUUAUUACAUAUUAUGACCCUCUUUUAUCCACCUUUCAAAAGUACAUCCUAUGUAUCAGUUAUGCGGCUUAGUGGUACAACAUGUGUUGUAUUAUAAUUGGCAUUUUGAUUUGUAUGGUGGAGGGCUAAUAUUGCAAAUGUUUUAUACCCUUUUGUAUUAUAUGACAAAUGUGCUACCUAGAAACAUUAGCUUA